Molecule: ribosomal RNA, 308 nt
Filed under: uncultured bacterium
Lineage: Bacteria
Description: partial 16S ribosomal RNA
Rfam family: Bacterial small subunit ribosomal RNA
Source: RNAcentral
GAGACAGCAGUAGCCGCGGGAAUACAGAGGGUGCGAGCGUUAAUCGGAUUUACUGGGCGUAAAGCGUGCGUAGGCGGCUAAUUGAGUCGGAUGUGAAAUCCCUGAGCUUAACUUAGGAAUUGCAUUCGAUACUGGGAAGCUAGAGUAUGGGAGAGGAUGGUAGAAUUCCAGGUGUAGCGGUGAAAUGCGUAGAGAUCUGGAGGAAUACCGAUGGCGAAGGCAGCCAUCUGGCCUAAUACUGACGCUGAGGUACGAAAGCAUGGGGAGCAAACAGGAUUAGAUACCCCCGUAGUCCCUGUCUCUUAUAU